This 1025-nucleotide long non-coding RNA is filed under the name Cyanistes caeruleus (blue tit). RNAcentral describes it as "lncRNA (ENSCCEG00000019593.1)". The record is from RNAcentral. Lineage: Eukaryota; Metazoa; Chordata; Aves; Passeriformes; Paridae.
AAUUCUGCCUUUUUUUUUUUUUUAUAAGAAAAUGUGGGUUUUUUUUGUAAACUGAACAGGUUUGACAGAAACAUUUGGGUUAUGCUUAACACUCCUUUUGCUCUGUGUUGGGCUCUUUUGGUUUGGAGUGACUGCUGAUGGAAAGCUCCUGGAGGAAAGCAGAAUCAGCUGCCCAGGGAGCUGCUGUGCAGGCACUCUGAGCCAAGGGAAGGUCGGAGGGGCUGCAGGUGUGGUGGGGAUGGUGCCACUGGAGUGGUCAUGAGUGAGGCAAGCCCAGCCAGCCCAGCCAGGGACAGCCCAGCUGCAUCCAGAGGGUCAGGAACAAGAGCAGCUGAGGGAGUCUUCAAAUGAGCAGCUCCAAGGCAGCAAGUGGAGCCCAGCCUGGAGGGAUGCAGGAGGUAAGGAAAUAUUCAUAUUCAUUUAAUACUGAAAAAAGAGUGCAGUCACAGUUACUUUAAUAUUUGAUGAAACUGGUCUUGAAGCUUUGCUGUCCUUCCUACUGUGGAGUGGCUUUUGUAUCAUCCAAGUUUUUGUUUUUUAGGCUCAUUGCUGGAAGGUAUCUGAGAGAGGGGCUUGAGACUGUGAGUGAAGAGAAAUGGAUGGAAUUCUCAAAAAUCACCAGUGUGGCAGCUGAAGGCUCGAUUCAUGGAUUUUACUGACUUCAGCUGAUAUCCAUUCCCGUAUAGGAAAUGAUUCUCUUCGAUUCAGUAGAUUUCCAGGUAGGUUGACUUGUCUGAGUCCUUCCAGUUUUUAACCUCUGUGUUUAUUUGGUCAUUUUGCCUGAGGUGUUCAGCAGCUCAGAAUGCUGGAGAUACGUGAUCCCCAGUUAAAGGUUUGCUGUGUCUUUGAAAGCUGCUUUGCUCUCUUCUUCCUUCCUCAGCUGCAUGUAAAACAUUCCCCAGAUGAUGUAGUGCCUCAUUUUGGUGUUUGUGAGCCAGACUGGAACUCACCUGUUUAAAAGGUGGCCCCCUCUUAGGAUGUUAGCAAUAUUUUCUAAAUAAUUGUAGUAGUUAAAGUGCAAGUAC